This 429-nucleotide ribosomal RNA is filed under the name Gemmatimonadota bacterium. Its description in RNAcentral is "Gemmatimonadetes bacterium partial 16S ribosomal RNA". It matches the Rfam family "Bacterial small subunit ribosomal RNA", at positions 355 to 776 of the family's 1533-position model. Lineage: Bacteria; Pseudomonadati; Gemmatimonadota. The record is from RNAcentral.
UAGGGAAUCUUCGGCACUGGACGAAAGUCUGACCGAGCAACGCCGCGUGAGUGAAGAAGGUUUUCGGAUCGUAAAACUCUGUUGUUAGAGAAGAACAAGGACGUUAGUAACUGAACGUCCCCUGACGGUAUCUAACCAGAAAGCCACGGCUAACUACGUGCCAGCAGCCGCGGUAAUACGUAGGUGGCAAGCGUUGUCCGGAUUUAUUGGGCGUAAAGCGAGCGCAGGCGGUUUCUUAAGUCUGAUGUGAAAGCCCCCGGCUCAACCGGGGAGGGUCAGUGGAAACGGGGAGACUUGAGUGCAGAAGAGGAGAGUGGAAUUCCAUGUGUAGCGGUGAAAUGCGUAGAUAUAUGGAGGAACACCAGUGGCGAAGGCGGCUCUCUGCUCUGUAACUGACGCUGAGGCUCGAAAGCGUGGGGAGCAAACAGG